UACGUAGGGUGCAAGCGUUAUCCGGAAUUAUUGGGCGUAAAGAGCUCGUAGGCGGUUUGUCGCGUCUGCUGUGAAAACCCGAGGCUCAACCUCGGGCCUGCAGUGGGUACGGGCAGACUAGAGUGCGGUAGGGGAGAUUGGAAUUCCUGGUGUAGCGGUGGAAUGCUCAGAUAUCAGGAGGAACACCGAUGGCGAAGGCAGAUCUCUGGGCCGUAACUGACGCUGAGGAGCGAAAGCGUGGGGAGCGAACAGG
Molecule: ribosomal RNA, 253 nt
Filed under: uncultured bacterium
Lineage: Bacteria
Description: partial 16S ribosomal RNA
Rfam family: Bacterial small subunit ribosomal RNA
Source: RNAcentral